UCACCCCUCUCGUCAUUUGCUGCUGACCUACCCUGUGCCAAACACCUCCAUGAGCAUUCAAUACUCCUCCCCACUCCCUCCUUGAGCUAAUUCUUGAGAGAUUUGAGCUAGAGCUUGGGUAAGAGAAAGAUUUGAGGUGUGUGACUCCAUCUUUGAGUGUGAGGUCAACCUUGUUCAUCUCAAGAGCACUUGAAGCAUUUUCGAUCUUCGAUUCGCAUUUGUUACUCUUGAAGCUUGCUUCUAG
This 244-nucleotide long non-coding RNA is filed under the name Setaria italica (foxtail millet). RNAcentral describes it as "long non-coding RNA (SITA_LNC005070)". The record is from RNAcentral. Lineage: Eukaryota; Viridiplantae; Streptophyta; Magnoliopsida; Poales; Poaceae.